This 420-nucleotide ribosomal RNA is filed under the name uncultured bacterium. RNAcentral's name for it is "bacterial SSU rRNA". It matches the Rfam family "Bacterial small subunit ribosomal RNA", at positions 335 to 747 of the family's 1533-position model. The record is from RNAcentral.
ACUCCUACGGGAGGCAGCAGUGGGGAAUAUUGCACAAUGGGCGCAAGCCUGAUGCAGCCAUGCCGCGUGUGUGAAAGAAGGCCUUCGGGUUGUAAAGCACUUUCAGUUGUGAGGAAGGUGGUGUCGUUAAUAGCGGCAUCAUUUGACGUUAGCAACAGAAGAAGCACCGGCUAACUCCGUGCCAGCAGCCGCGGUAAUACGGAGGGUGCGAGCGUUAAUCGGAAUUACUGGGCGUAAAGCGCAUGCAGGUGGUUUGUUAAGUCAGAUGUGAAAGCCCGGGGCUCAACCUCGGAACUGCAUUUGAAACUGGCAGACUAGAGUACUGUAGAGGGGGGUAGAAUUUCAGGUGUAGCGGUGAAAUGCGUAGAGAUCUGAAGGAAUACCGGUGGCGAAGGCGGCCCCCGGACAGAUACUGACACU